Molecule: ribosomal RNA, 253 nt
Filed under: uncultured bacterium
Lineage: Bacteria
Description: partial 16S ribosomal RNA
Rfam family: Bacterial small subunit ribosomal RNA
Source: RNAcentral
UACGGGGGGGGCAAGCGUUGUUCGGAAUUACUGGGCGUAAAGCGCGUGUAGGCGGCAGGGCAUGUCGGAUGUGAAAUCCCGUGGCUCAACCACGGAAGUGCACCCGAAACUGCCCAGCUUGAGUCUCGGAGAGGAAGGCGGAAUGCUUGGUGUAGAGGUGAAAUUCGUAGAUAUCAAGCGGAACACCGGUGGCGAAGGCGGCCUUCUGGACGAUGACUGACGCUGAGACGCGAAAGCGUGGGGAGCAAACAGG